GACGAACGCUGGCGGCGUGCCUAAAACAUGCAAGUCGAACGGUGCAGCAAUACACAGUGGCGAACGGCGGAGUAAUACAUGAACAACGUGCCCGGAAGACUGGGAUAGUCAGGGGAAACCCUGGGUAAUACCAGAUGUGGCCGUCUCUUGGCAUCUAGAGACGAUUAAAGGGUUUUUCGCUUCCGGAGCGGUUCAUGGCCUAUCAGGUAGUUGGUGAGGUAAUGGCUCACCAAGCCGACGACGGGUAGCGGGUCUGAGAGGAUGAUCCGCUCGAGUGGGACUGAGACACGGCCCACACACCUACGGGUGGCAGCAGUUGGGAAUCUUGCACAAUGGGGGAAACCCUGAUGCAGCGACGCCGCGUGGAGGAUGAAGGAUCUAGGUCUGUAAACUCCUUUU
RNAcentral lists this ribosomal RNA (399 nucleotides) under uncultured bacterium. RNAcentral's name for it is "bacterial SSU rRNA". It matches the Rfam family "Bacterial small subunit ribosomal RNA", at positions 28 to 437 of the family's 1533-position model. The record is from RNAcentral.